RNAcentral lists this long non-coding RNA (2432 nucleotides) under Marmota monax (woodchuck). The record is from RNAcentral. Lineage: Eukaryota; Metazoa; Chordata; Mammalia; Rodentia; Sciuridae.
UUGUUUUGUAUAUUUGGGAGCCUGUAUGCCUCCUGUAUCUGAUUUUUCAUUUCAUUUCUUAGUUUUUGAAAUUUUCAGAUUUUAUUUCAUUGAAAAGAUUGUGUAUUCUUUUAGUUUGUAUCUCUGAACCUUCAUGUAUCCUGAUAUAUCUUAAAUUUUGUCUUUUCAGGUUAUCCCAUAUUUCUUGGAAGUUCUGUUCAUGGUCUCUUAAAAUAUUUUCUCCAUGGUCAACUUUAUUUUCAAGAUUAUAUAUUUUGUCUUCAUUACCUGAAGACAAUGGUCUGCUCUGUUGGUGAAGCUUUCCAAUGAAUUUUUAAUUAGGUUAUUAAUUCCUUCAUUUUGAGGAUUUCUGCUAUUCGUGAUUUUUUUCAGCUGCAAUUGAUGUCAGCAAUGUAUGUAAGUGCCACAAUAGUGUAGACUUCAGUGGUUCAUGAAAGUAGUUAUAUGACUAUGAAAUGGAUGUAGGCUUCUAAAAAUGCAUGUCCUCAGACCCCACAGAGUUGACUACCAGUGACACUGAGCCUUAUAACAGCAGCAUCUGUGGGCUUAGUGGUGCAGGGUAUAGACAAAACUGUCCCUAGGUCCCAUCGGGCAAGCAAGGUAACACCAAGGUUUUGACACUAAUAGUCACAGUCCUGGAGCCAAGAAUUCAAACAGAACCUUUCCAAAGUUCCUCAGAAUGAAUGCAGGAUACUUCAGGGUCUAUGGUAUCAGCAGCCACAGUUCUGGAAUUAUGGGAUGGGUUUAUAUCUUCUUCAGGUUUUGUCAGAUGAACACAGGGGUUGCCUGCAUCUGUGGUACCAACAACCAUGGACUUGAAGUUGGGAACUCAAAGAAGAACUUCCCUUGGUCCUGUGCUGCAGUCACAGUUGGCACUGGGGCUUGUGGUGCUUGAAAUUACAUUUCUGGAGCCCUGAGGAUCAAGGAUGGGACCAGGUCCUAAAGUAGUUUUUUUUUUUUUUUUGUAGAGAGAAAGAAUUUUUAAUAUUUAUUUUUUUAGUUUUCGGCGGACAUAUUUGUUUGUAUGUGGUGCUGAGGAUCGAACCCCGGCCGCAUGCAUGCCAGGUGAGCGCCCUACCACUUGAGCCACAUCCCCAGCCCCUAAAGUAGUUUGAAGGCCAUUAAUUGUGGAGGAAACCCUCUCUAGUUCCCACACUAUUAUGCAUGUGAUGUUGGAGCUUGAGUCACUGCUCUCCACAAUCUCAGAGGCAUAGGAAGUGGAAGAGACCUUCCUUAGAUCCCAUAAAGUGAAUGCAGGUGGUGUCAGGGCUUUUGGCUUUGUUAUUCUUGGUCUGGGUGUUGCAGGACAUUAACAGCACUGUCCCCAAGUCAUGUGGAACAAGUGCUAUUAUAUCUGGGGCUUGUGGUAGUGGUAGCCAUAAUUCUGGAGCUACAAUGCAUAGAUGGGACCUCCCUAAAUUUUGUGGCACAUAUGAUGCGAAGGUUUUGUACUAGCUGCCAUAGUCUCAAGUUAGUAGACUGGGGAGAAGAUUUUCCCAAGUUCUAUUGGAGUGAAUGUGAGUGUGGCUAGGGCUGUGGCUUUGGCAGCCAUAAAGCUAUGAGACGCUGAGGGAUCUGUCUUCUGCCUGGAAGGCACACAUCAGCCCAUGCGAUUGUCAGGGAACAAACCACUAGACUCUAAGACAGAAUGUUACCUAUUAGUGACUGUUAUAGCAGCUUGUGUUCUGUGAGUUUGGGAGGACUCAGUAUGAAUUCUUUCUUUGGAGCAGAACAGUUGAUGUGAGACCAGCCAGCUCCCCAAACUAGGUUCAAAGCUUGUGAGGAUUGUGAAAUUCUCUUGUAGUUAGGACUAUCAUUCUCCUGCUAUGAUGGUGGUUGCUGGUACUUUUCUGGCAAUGUGAAGAUAUUCCACCCCACCUCUCCAACCCCCCACCCCCGGCCAGGGAGCCCAGGUUGAAGUUGAAAUUUGCUUUUUCCUUUCCCUCGAUUUUCUUUCUGACUCUGUACUAUUUAGGUUCCCAUCACUUCCCUUCUGAUUUCUACAGUUCUCCCUUAGUCACUCUUAGAAAUUAUUUUUUCCAUUGUUGUCUUGGUUCCCUGUGACAGUGGUAAGCAGGGUACUCUAUUCACCUAUCCUGGAUCUUUCCAAGGUACCAUUUUCUUGGUUCUUAAAAAGUAGAAUAUCCAGAGAAAUAAAUAAAAUCCUUAUUAAAAAUUUUAAAAACCCAGUUUUUAAAACAUUGCUGUUUGUGUUUCAAAGUUUAAAGAAAAUAAAUAUCAUGCAUCACUGUCAUCUAGAAUAUAUAUCCAGAGCAUCAGGAAUUUUAAUCCUAGACUAUGAAUUUGAAUAAAGUUAUCAAGCUUUUACUGUCUUGUUGUUGCUGUUUUUUUUUAUUUUUGCAAAAACAACAUUCAUGUUACUAUUAUUCAUAUUACUAUAUUUUAUAUGUGAAAUAAUGAAUAUAAAAUUG